RNAcentral lists this ribosomal RNA (480 nucleotides) under uncultured Flavobacteriaceae bacterium. RNAcentral's name for it is "bacterial SSU rRNA". It matches the Rfam family "Bacterial small subunit ribosomal RNA", at positions 28 to 505 of the family's 1533-position model. Lineage: Bacteria; Pseudomonadati; Bacteroidota; Flavobacteriia; Flavobacteriales; Flavobacteriaceae. The record is from RNAcentral.
GAUGAACGCUAGCGGCAGGCUUAACACAUGCAAGUCGAGGGGUAACAGGGAAGCUUGCUUCCGCUGACGACCGGCGCACGGGUGCGUAACGCGUAUACAAUCUGCCUUUUGCUGAGGGAUAGCCCCGAGAAAUUGGGAUUAAUACCUCAUAGUAUUAUUGAUUCGCAUGGAUUAAUAAUUAAAGGAUACGGCAAAAGAUGAGUAUGCGUCCUAUUAGCUAGAUGGUGUGGUAACGGCACACCAUGGCUACGAUAGGUAGGGGCCCUGAGAGGGGGAUCCCCCACACUGGUACUGAGACACGGACCAGACUCCUACGGGAGGCAGCAGUGAGGAAUAUUGGACAAUGGAGGGAACUCUGAUCCAGCCAUGCCGCGUGCAGGAAGACUGCCCUAUGGGUUGUAAACUGCUUUUAUACAGGAAGAAUAAGAUCUACGUGUAGAUUGAUGACGGUACUGUAAGAAUAAGGAUCGGCUAACUCCG